RNAcentral lists this unclassified non-coding RNA (673 nucleotides) under Hevea brasiliensis (rubber tree). Lineage: Eukaryota; Viridiplantae; Streptophyta; Magnoliopsida; Malpighiales; Euphorbiaceae. The record is from RNAcentral.
UUCUUCUGGAACUCAGUGCCGAACAAACAAACAGGUCCAGAUUCAGGCUGGACCAUAACAGCAAGGGAGCAACUAAUUUUUUGACACUGACACACAGAAGGAUCAAUCUGACCGCACAGUCGGCCACUAGUGGUGGGUUCAUCAUCAAGUAUACACACAGCACCAGCAAGUCCAGUCUGAAGUGCUCGACGAGAUAGCUGAGCAGCACGAAUACGACGUGCAAUGCUUGAAACUCUUUCCCUUGCAAAAGAGUCGUCAAGAACAGAAUCUCCUCCCACUGCACGAACUGCAGCUGCCAUUGCUGCUGCCUCUCUAUUACCAGCAUUAGGAAUAGAUGAUAUAAGUGAUGCCUCUAUUUCCUUCCAUUUUCGUUCCUCCUUCUCAAGGAGAGCUUUCCUCCUUUCUUUACCCCUUCCUUCCUCUUCACGUCUCUGCAUCAGGAUUUCCUCUUCCAUCUCUUUCUCCCUCAUGUAACUCUCCUGUAUGAUUUCAAAUCGCCUACGAUCUUCUGGGAGCCAUUUCUUUAUGUCUUUGGCACUGAGAUCUGAAAACCCUAUGUUGUCAAGGAAAAGUCGCAGACGAACCUCGUCCUGUACCCUCUCAGCUUUAGCAGUCAAACCAAGCAAGAGAAGCAAGUAACCACCAAACUUAUCCCACAUGUAUACCCAUUCAG